Molecule: ribosomal RNA, 1542 nt
Filed under: Escherichia coli O150:H6
Lineage: Bacteria; Pseudomonadati; Pseudomonadota; Gammaproteobacteria; Enterobacterales; Enterobacteriaceae
Description: bacterial SSU rRNA
Rfam family: Bacterial small subunit ribosomal RNA
Source: RNAcentral
AAAUUGAAGAGUUUGAUCAUGGCUCAGAUUGAACGCUGGCGGCAGGCCUAACACAUGCAAGUCGAACGGUAACAGGAAGCAGCUUGCUGCUUUGCUGACGAGUGGCGGACGGGUGAGUAAUGUCUGGGAAACUGCCUGAUGGAGGGGGAUAACUACUGGAAACGGUAGCUAAUACCGCAUAACGUCGCAAGACCAAAGAGGGGGACCUUAGGGCCUCUUGCCAUCGGAUGUGCCCAGAUGGGAUUAGCUAGUAGGUGGGGUAACGGCUCACCUAGGCGACGAUCCCUAGCUGGUCUGAGAGGAUGACCAGCCACACUGGAACUGAGACACGGUCCAGACUCCUACGGGAGGCAGCAGUGGGGAAUAUUGCACAAUGGGCGCAAGCCUGAUGCAGCCAUGCCGCGUGUAUGAAGAAGGCCUUCGGGUUGUAAAGUACUUUCAGCGGGGAGGAAGGGAGUAAAGUUAAUACCUUUGCUCAUUGACGUUACCCGCAGAAGAAGCACCGGCUAACUCCGUGCCAGCAGCCGCGGUAAUACGGAGGGUGCGAGCGUUAAUCGGAAUUACUGGGCGUAAAGCGCACGCAGGCGGUUUGUUAAGUCAGAUGUGAAAUCCCCGGGCUCAACCUGGGAACUGCAUCUGAUACUGGCAAGCUUGAGUCUCGUAGAGGGGGGUAGAAUUCCAGGUGUAGCGGUGAAAUGCGUAGAGAUCUGGAGGAAUACCGGUGGCGAAGGCGGCCCCCUGGACGAAGACUGACGCUCAGGUGCGAAAGCGUGGGGAGCAAACAGGAUUAGAUACCCUGGUAGUCCACGCCGUAAACGAUGUCGACUUGGAGGUUGUGCCCUUGAGGCGUGGCUUCCGGAGCUAACGCGUUAAGUCGACCGCCUGGGGAGUACGGCCGCAAGGUUAAAACUCAAAUGAAUUGACGGGGGCCCGCACAAGCGGUGGAGCAUGUGGUUUAAUUCGAUGCAACGCGAAGAACCUUACCUGGUCUUGACAUCCACGGAAGUUUUCAGAGAUGAGAAUGUGCCUUCGGGAACCGUGAGACAGGUGCUGCAUGGCUGUCGUCAGCUCGUGUUGUGAAAUGUUGGGUUAAGUCCCGCAACGAGCGCAACCCUUAUCCUUUGUUGCCAGCGGUCCGGCCGGGAACUCAAAGGAGACUGCCAGUGAUAAACUGGAGGAAGGUGGGGAUGACGUCAAGUCAUCAUGGCCCUUACGACCAGGGCUACACACGUGCUACAAUGGCGCAUACAAAGAGAAGCGACCUCGCGAGAGCAAGCGGACCUCAUAAAGUGCGUCGUAGUCCGGAUUGGAGUCUGCAACUCGACUCCAUGAAGUCGGAAUCGCUAGUAAUCGUGGAUCAGAAUGCCACGGUGAAUACGUUCCCGGGCCUUGUACACACCGCCCGUCACACCAUGGGAGUGGGUUGCAAAAGAAGUAGGUAGCUUAACCUUCGGGAGGGCGCUUACCACUUUGUGAUUCAUGACUGGGGUGAAGUCGUAACAAGGUAACCGUAGGGGAACCUGCGGUUGGAUCACCUCCUUA